This 253-nucleotide ribosomal RNA is filed under the name uncultured bacterium. RNAcentral describes it as "partial 16S ribosomal RNA". It matches the Rfam family "Bacterial small subunit ribosomal RNA", at positions 524 to 776 of the family's 1533-position model. The record is from RNAcentral.
UACGUAGGUGACAAGCGUUGUCCGGAUUUACUGGGCGUAAAGAGCGCGCAGGCGGUCGAUCAAGUCGAGUGUGAAAGCCCCCGGCUCAACUGGGGAGGGUCAUUCGAUACUGAUCGACUCGAAGGCAGGAGAGGGUAGUGGAAUUCCCGGUGUAGUGGUGAAAUGCGUAGAUAUCGGGAGGAACACCAAUGGCGGAGGCAGCCUCCUGGGCCAAUACUGACACUCAUGCACGAAAGCGUGGGGAGCAAACAGG